RNAcentral lists this ribosomal RNA (762 nucleotides) under uncultured organism. RNAcentral describes it as "bacterial SSU rRNA". It matches the Rfam family "Bacterial small subunit ribosomal RNA", at positions 28 to 772 of the family's 1533-position model. The record is from RNAcentral.
AAUGAACGCUGGCGGCGUGCCUAACACAUGCAAGUCGAGCGAGAAAGUUCCCUUCGGGGAGCGAGUACAGCGGCGGACGGGUGAGUAACGCGUGGACGAUCUACCCAAGGAUUCGGGAUAACCUUGCGAAAGCGGGGCUAAUACCGAAUGGUCUGGGCAUUUUGAAAUGUGCCUGGUAGAGGUGGCCUCUGAUUCAAGCUAUCGUCUUUGGAUGGGUCCGCGUCCCAUUAGCUUGUUGGUAGGGUCAAGGCCUACCAAGGCGACGAUGGGUAGCUGGUCUGAGAGGAUGAUCAGCCACACUGGGACUGGAACACGGCCCAGACUCCUACGGGAGGCAGCAGUGGGGAAUAUUGGGCAAUGGGCGCAAGCCUGACCCAGCAACGCCGCGUGAGGGAAGAAGGUCUUCGGAUCGUAAACCUCAGUCAGGAGGGAAGAAAUGGGUUGUCCUGAACAGGGAUGGCCUUUGACGGUACCUCCAGAGGAAGCACCGGCCAACUCCGUGCCAGCAGCCGCGGUAAUACGGAGGGUGCAAGCGUUAUUCGGAAUCACUGGGCGUAAAGCGCACGUAGGCGGCUUUGCAAGUCAGUGUGAAAGCCCUCGGCUCGACCGAGGAAUUGCACUUGAAACUGUAGAGCUCGAGUUCGGGAGAGGGUGGCGGAAUUCCAGUGUAGGAGUGAAAUCCGUAGAUAUCUGGAGGACACCAGAGCGAAGGCGCCACCUGGACCGAAACUGACGCUGAGGUGCGAAAGCGUGGGGAGCAAA